AGUGAUAAGGGAUUGGCUUUGUUCACUCGAUGUCAGGAACGGAAGUUAAUUAAACCACACCACACCCCUCGAAUUCUUCAGCAGUUGGAAGGCAAACUAGGCAUUGGGCACAACAGGUCAACAUAAUUAUGGAGGAGUAGUCAGUGGAUGAUGUUGAAUGCCUCCUAUAGAGCUGCACAGCUCUAUAUACUGUACUAUCAGUACAUUGGUACCAGGACUUCAGUGAGCAAGGUGCAGGUGCAUGGACGAUGAACAGACUCCCAUUGUUAUCAAAUAAUGCAGAUCCAAACCACCUUGACGUCUUGGUUACAAGUCUGAAUACCCGAUUGUUUGAGUGUCAAACCAAGGACAUUUGCUGUAAGGAUCAAGAUGUUUAUGCCUGAGAAACGUGCUUGAGGCCGAAGAAUCAAUCCCUCAGUUUUUGGUAGAAUUGCACGAAACUCUGUGAUGAGGGUGUCAAGCUUAGUAGCCAAUUGAUCAAGCCGAUCUGGAUCAGUGCAGUUGUAGGUUGCCAACUUCCUGCUGAUAGUAGUGAUCUAAUGAUAGGCCAUUUGAUCCCGGUGCUGCCCAAGCACAUUUUCGGAGCAUUCCCAACAGAAUUUCUCCAUCGGUAAGUGAAAGCCCAUGCUUCUUAUCUUUCAUCCACCGUUCCCAACACUGUUCACGAUGAAAGUCGCACAAAUACACUCUACAGUGCGGAAAAACAGACUCAAUAGCCGUAAUUUCUGCAUCUGAAUAGUCUGUCAUAAAGAAUGGUGGACUCCACUCUGGGUUCCAGCUUGCUAUGACCCUAAGUGCUUCUGCAAUAUGGUCACUCGUCUCAGACUGAAUGACAAAAUCUGCAACAGCAGGUGCUGUUGCCACUGUUCCUGAUGGACAUAAAGAAGGGUGUGAGAAAAUAUCAGAGGAUCCUCUUCUUCACAGGUCCAAGUAAAUGGGUGCUGGGUUCAGAAACAGCAAAAGAUGGGAAGAGCAUCACCUCGUGUACAUGUAUAUGUGCUGGACAGCCCACUUUGCGUGUACCUUGGAGACGUGUUCGACUAGAUGUUAAUGUUCGUCCCUUGAAGCACUGCUGACCAAACUGGCAGUGCUGUUUUCGAAUUCUUGAAACAAUAAAUGGGAUGCCAUCAAAUGAUAUAUUGUGACCUUCAAUUGAAUGAUUCCAAUACACCCUUGCCUAUAUGUGAAUAAUAAUUACAAUAAUAAUUAUUUUUGAUUAACAA
Molecule: long non-coding RNA, 1223 nt
Organism: Halichondria panicea
Lineage: Eukaryota; Metazoa; Porifera; Demospongiae; Suberitida; Halichondriidae
Exons: 6
Source: RefSeq, a predicted model, not a curated record